UGGGGAAUAUUGCACAAUGGGCGCAAGCAUGAUGCAGCCAUGCCGCGUGUAUGAAGAAGGCCUUCGGGUUGUAAAGUACUUUCAGCGGGGAGGAAGGGAGUAAAGUUAAUACCUUUGCUCAUUGACGUUACCCGCAGAAGAAGCACCGGCUAACUCCGUGCCAGCAGCCGCGGUAAUACGGAGGGUGCAAGCGUUAAUCGGAAUUACUGGGCGUAAAGCGCACGCAGGCGGUUUGUUAAGUCAGAUGUGAAAUCCUCGGGCUCAACCUGGGAACUGCAUCUGAUACUGGCAAGCUUGAGUCUCGUAGAGGGGGGUAGAAUUCCAGGUGUAGCGGUGAAAUGCGUAGAGAUCUGGAGGAAUACCGGUGGCGAAGGCGGCCCCCUGGACAAAGACUGACGCUCAGGUGCGAAAGCGUGGGGAGCAAACAGG
Molecule: ribosomal RNA, 429 nt
Filed under: Chloroflexota bacterium
Lineage: Bacteria; Bacillati; Chloroflexota
Description: Chloroflexi bacterium partial 16S ribosomal RNA
Rfam family: Bacterial small subunit ribosomal RNA
Source: RNAcentral